Hibiscus syriacus is the source of this 231-nucleotide long non-coding RNA. RefSeq lists it as uncharacterized. NCBI's taxonomy places the organism in Eukaryota, Viridiplantae, Streptophyta, Magnoliopsida, Malvales, Malvaceae. The record is from RefSeq and is a predicted model, not a curated record. The transcript has 3 exons.
CAGUUUACUGCAACCUGUUUCUGUUAAAAUUUCGUUUGGAAAUAGAGAGAUUCUUAUUGAGACAGGUCAUAUAGGGAGGCAAGCUAGUGGUUCUGUGAUGGCAACUGAUGGAGAAACAAUUGUAUACACAUCUGUUUGUUUGUCAGAUGUUCCAAGCGAGCCUUCUGAUUUUUUUUCCUCUUAGUGUUACUUAUCAAGAACGUUUUUCGGCCGCAAGUCGGACUAGGUGUG